This 539-nucleotide ribosomal RNA is filed under the name Nocardia africana. RNAcentral describes it as "bacterial SSU rRNA". It matches the Rfam family "Bacterial small subunit ribosomal RNA", at positions 511 to 1048 of the family's 1533-position model. Lineage: Bacteria; Bacillati; Actinomycetota; Actinomycetes; Mycobacteriales; Nocardiaceae. The record is from RNAcentral.
GCAGCCGCGGUAAUACGUAGGGUGCGAGCGUUGUCCGGAAUUACUGGGCGUAAAGAGCUUGUAGGCGGUUCGUCGCGUCGAUCGUGAAAACUUGCAGCUCAACUGCGAGCUUGCGGUCGAUACGGGCGGACUAGAGUACUGCAGGGGAGACUGGAAUUCCUGGUGUAGCGGUGAAAUGCGCAGAUAUCAGGAGGAACACCGGUGGCGAAGGCGGGUCUCUGGGCAGUAACUGACGCUGAGAAGCGAAAGCGUGGGUAGCGAACAGGAUUAGAUACCCUGGUAGUCCACGCCGUAAACGGUGGGCGCUAGGUGUGGGUUUCCUUCCACGGGAUCCGUGCCGUAGCUAACGCAUUAAGCGCCCCGCCUGGGGAGUACGGCCGCAAGGCUAAAACUCAAAGGAAUUGACGGGGGCCCGCACAAGCGGCGGAGCAUGUGGAUUAAUUCGAUGCAACGCGAAGAACCUUACCUGGGUUUGACAUACACCAGAAAGCCGUAGAGAUACGGCCCCCCUUGUGGUUGGUGUACCAGGUGGUGCAUGG